Molecule: ribosomal RNA, 810 nt
Filed under: Clostridioides difficile
Lineage: Bacteria; Bacillati; Bacillota; Clostridia; Peptostreptococcales; Peptostreptococcaceae
Description: bacterial SSU rRNA
Rfam family: Bacterial small subunit ribosomal RNA
Source: RNAcentral
UUUUAUUUGAGAGUUUGAUCCUGGCUCAGGAUGAACGCUGGCGGCGUGCCUAACACAUGCAAGUUGAGCGAUUUACUUCGGUAAAGAGCGGCGGACGGGUGAGUAACGCGUGGGUAACCUACCCUGUACACACGGAUAACAUACCGAAAGGUAUGCUAAUACGGGAUAAUAUAUUUGAGAGGCAUCUCUUAAAUAUCAAAGGUGAGCCAGUACAGGAUGGACCCGCGUCUGAUUAGCUAGUUGGUAAGGUAACGGCUUACCAAGGCGACGAUCAGUAGCCGACCUGAGAGGGUGAUCGGCCACAUUGGAACUGAGACACGGUCCAAACUCCUACGGGAGGCAGCAGUGGGGAAUAUUGCACAAUGGGCGAAAGCCUGAUGCAGCAACGCCGCGUGAGUGAUGAAGGCCUUCGGGUCGUAAAACUCUGUCCUCAAGGAAGAUAAUGACGGUACUUGAGGAGGAAGCCCCGGCUAACUACGUGCCAGCAGCCGCGGUAAUACGUAGGGGGCUAGCGUUAUCCGGAUUUACUGGGCGUAAAGGGUGCGUAGGCGGUCUUUCAAGUCAGGAGUGAAAGGCUACGGCUCAACCGUAGUAAGCUCUUGAAACUGGGAGACUUGAGUGCAGGAGAGGAGAGUGGAAUUCCUAGUGUAGCGGUGAAAUGCGUAGAUAUUAGGAGGAACACCAGUUGCGAAGGCGGCUCUCUGGACUGUAACUGACGCUGAGGCACGAAAGCGUGGGGAGCAAACAGGAUUAGAUACCCUGGUAGUCCACGCUGUAAACGAUGAGUACUAGGUGUCGGGGGUUACCCCC